Molecule: long non-coding RNA, 352 nt
Filed under: Olea europaea (common olive)
Lineage: Eukaryota; Viridiplantae; Streptophyta; Magnoliopsida; Lamiales; Oleaceae
Description: long non-coding RNA (OEUR_LNC006764)
Source: RNAcentral
CCAUGAAGGAAACACAAUCAUUUUUCUAGCCCACCGUAUUAAUGUCCAGUGGUUAGAACUUCAACAUUUUCAAUUUCUUGUUUCGGUUCCUUUUCGUCUGAGAUAGUAUCUGAGUUUUCCUCUAAAACCGGACUGCUUUUGAACAUUUCCGGACUGCUUUUGAACAUUUCGUGCAUUUCCAGAGCUGCAAACUUCUCUCUGUCUCCUUUUAGAAGUUCAAUCACUUCAAGCAUUGUUGGUCGCUUCUCGGGUUGAUUAUGACUACAUACGAGUCCUACAAGGACAACCCUUUUCAACUCUUCUUCCACAUACUUCCCAGUGAGCCUCAAAUCCACAAGUUCGUUGAAUUUUC